Long non-coding RNA from Prunus persica (peach), 796 nucleotides. RefSeq lists it as uncharacterized. Lineage: Eukaryota; Viridiplantae; Streptophyta; Magnoliopsida; Rosales; Rosaceae. The record is from RefSeq and is a predicted model, not a curated record. The transcript is spliced from 3 exons.
CUUUGUUUCAAUCCUAAACGGAGAACACGAGGUUGCAACCACCACCAACGAUUUUAAUGACCAUACUCAUACCAACAACGACCAUGGCUAAGAAGGUCACUGCAAAAUGCCAGAGGAAGGUGUUUUCUAGUGGAGAAUCAAUAGGAGGAUCGACAACGGAGAAGGCGUCUUCUUUCGUUUUUUGGCGGAGAAGCAAUCGAUGACGACAAUGGCUCGUCCUGUGUCAAGAUUGCUGGCGGAGAAGGCAUUUUUCUAUCCCUCGAGAAGCAAUCAGAGGAUCGACGUCGGCGGAUUCACAAAGCUCAAAGGCUCUUCCUGUGAUUUCGGUGACUCAGCCUAAUAGAUAUGCAUUUCCUAUAUGUUACAAGUUGAAGUAAGAUGGACGGUGGAAGAGACAACAAAGAUGAGUCUAAUGUAAAAGGGCUACUUUCACAACUUGCUGGAUAUGCUGGAUAUGCUGCUGGACACUACCCACAGGUGAAUAAAGGGCAACGGAGUUUGUCCCCUGCAAACGGCAAACGGCAACCGGCGGUGACGGCGGGUGGCCGGCGGUGGUGGUCAGUGGCGGGUGGCUAGAUAUGGACAUGUGUCAUAGUAUGCUUGUCUUAGAAUGAGUGACAUUGUGUGUAAUUUUGAUAUCUUUUAAUGAUAUUUUUGUAAAAUUAGGUACUACAUUUUGGUCUUUGGCCUUAUGCUAAUUAGAUAAAUUGUAUUCCUAUAUUCCAAAUUAGUAAACUAUAUUUUGUUUUAACAGUCCCGAUCUCUUGGACCACAGGAGUCCAAGAGAUUGUGGUCA